AGUACGGCCGCAAGGUUAAAACUCAAAUGAAUUGACGGGGGCCCGCACAAGCGGUGGAGCAUGUGGUUUAAUUCGAUGCAACGCGAAGAACCUUACCUGGUCUUGACAUCCACGGAAGUUUUCAGAGAUGAGAAUGUGCCUUCGGGAACCGUGAGACAGGUGCUGCAUGGCUGUCGUCAGCUCGUGUUGUGAAAUGUUGGGUUAAGUCCCGCAACGAGCGCAACCCUUAUCCUUUGUUGCCAGCGGUCCGGCCGGGAACUCAAAGGAGACUGCCAGUGAUAAACUGGAGGAAGGUGGGGAUGACGUCAAGUCAUCAUGGCCCUUACGACCAGGGCUACACACGUGCUACAAUGGCGCAUACAAAGAGAAGCGACCUCGCGAGAGCAAGCGGACCUCAUAAAGUGCGUCGUAGUCCGGAUUGGAGUCUGCAACUCGACUCCAUGAAGUCGGAAUCGCUAGUAAUCGUGGAUCAGAAUGCCACGGUGAAUACGUUCCCGGGCCUUGUACACACCGCCCGUCACACCAUGGGAGUGGGUUGCAAAAGAAGUAGGUAGCUUAACCUUCGGGAGGGCGCUUACCACUUUGUGAUUCAUGACUGGGGUGAAGUCGUAACAAGGUAACC
RNAcentral lists this ribosomal RNA (622 nucleotides) under uncultured marine bacterium. RNAcentral's name for it is "bacterial SSU rRNA". It matches the Rfam family "Bacterial small subunit ribosomal RNA", at positions 879 to 1501 of the family's 1533-position model. The record is from RNAcentral.